This 253-nucleotide ribosomal RNA is filed under the name uncultured bacterium. Its description in RNAcentral is "partial 16S ribosomal RNA". It matches the Rfam family "Bacterial small subunit ribosomal RNA", at positions 524 to 776 of the family's 1533-position model. The record is from RNAcentral.
UACGGAGGGGGCUAGCGUUGUUCGGAAUUCCUGGGCGUAAAGCGCGCGUAGGCGGACCUGCAAGUCGGGGGUGAAAGCCCAAGGCUCAACCUCGGAACUGCCUUCGAUACUGCGGGUCUCGAGUCCGGGAGAGGUGAGUGGAAUUCCUAGUGUAGAGGUGAAAUUCGUAGAUAUUAGGAAGAACACCAGUGGCGAAGGCGGCUCACUGGCCCGGUACUGACGCUGAGGCGCGAAAGCGUGGGGAGCAAACAGG